UGCCAGCCGCCGCGGUAAUACGAAGGGGGCUAGCGUUGUUCGGAAUAACUGGGCGUAAAGCGCACGUAGGCGGAUUGGAAAGUUAGAGGUGAAAUCCCAGGGCUCAACCCUGGAACUGCCUUUAAAACUGCAAGUCUAGUGUCCCGGAGAGGUUGGCGGAAUUCCGAGUGUAGAGGUGAAAUUCGCAGAUAUUCGGAGGAACACCAGUGGCGUAGGCGGCCAACUGGACGGGUACAGACGCUGAGGUACGAAAGCGUGGGGAGCAAACAGGAUUAGAUA
Molecule: ribosomal RNA, 279 nt
Filed under: uncultured bacterium
Lineage: Bacteria
Description: partial 16S ribosomal RNA
Rfam family: Bacterial small subunit ribosomal RNA
Source: RNAcentral